CCUCUAGCACAAAGUAUUAAAGGUAACGCCUGCCCAGUGAUAAAUUAAACGGCCGCGGGAUCCUCACCGUGCAAAGGUAGCAUAAUCACUUGUCCCCUAAAUAGUGACUAGUAUGAACGGCCAAAUGAAGAUUUUACUGUCUCUUAUAGCCAAUCUAUGAAACUAAACUAUCAGUACAAAAGCUGAUAUAUUAACAUAAGACGAAAAGACCCUGUGGAACUUUAAGCAUAACCCACCACAAUGGACCACCUGCUUUUAGUUGGGGCAACUUUGGAAAAAAACAAAACUUCCAAUAAAAUUAAAGAUUAACACAUCUAUAUUAUACUAUACGACCCAACAUAUGUUGAUCAAAGAACCAAGCUACCCCAGGGAUAACAGCGCCAUCCCCUCUUAGAGCCCAAAUCGACGAGCGGGGUUUACGACCUCGAUGUUGGAUCAGGGCCCCCAAACAGUGCAACAGCUGUUAAUGGUUUGUUUGUUCAACAAUUAAAGCCCUACGUGAUCUGAGUUAAGACCGGAGCAAUCCAG
Molecule: ribosomal RNA, 528 nt
Filed under: Pholidobolus macbrydei
Lineage: Eukaryota; Metazoa; Chordata; Lepidosauria; Squamata; Gymnophthalmidae
Description: partial 16S ribosomal RNA
Rfam family: Bacterial large subunit ribosomal RNA
Source: RNAcentral